GGGAGGACAUACUUGGUGACUGGUAGGAAGAGAAUCCUGUCCUUCAACUUCGCUUCAAACUUGUGAGACGAACGAUCGUUGUUAUCAGUUUCCCGAUGUUUUAUUAGUUUGUAAUUCAAAUAAGAAGACAGUGAACAUAUAAGUGAAGCGUGAGAUAAGAAUCACCUUUGCAGCUGACACCGUUACUGACAUUAUCUGAUUAUCGAUCUGCAUUAUCGCUCGUAUACUCAAGGAGGAUAAAUCGAUGAUAACAUCAGAUUUCUCGGUAUUACUAGGAAACUUCAGGAGUUACCGUUAUCUUCUCAUUUUUCAUGUUCUUUUGUAAAUAUUGUUGAAAAUAUUUUCGACGUUAAAACGAUCAAGCGACCAGUUGUAAUAGGCCACAGGGAAUAAUGGAAACAGUUAAGUUGUUUAUGACCGAAACACCCCAACACGUCGACCAACCCCAUAGACAAAGGGCCUUACCUCACACCCUGGAUGAACUGGUGUCCAGGGACACUUUUUAACGAACUAUCGAGCAUGCAGCAUUGGACAUUAACAACCUAGCUUACAUUAUAUCGAGUCUUUAAUGAAUGUUUAAUUGUUAACAAUAAAUGAAAGAUCGAGUCAUUCAAUUAAA
Molecule: long non-coding RNA, 619 nt
Organism: Fopius arisanus
Lineage: Eukaryota; Metazoa; Arthropoda; Insecta; Hymenoptera; Braconidae
Exons: 2
Source: RefSeq, a predicted model, not a curated record